This 245-nucleotide ribosomal RNA is filed under the name uncultured Succinivibrio sp. Its description in RNAcentral is "partial 16S ribosomal RNA". It matches the Rfam family "Bacterial small subunit ribosomal RNA", at positions 524 to 768 of the family's 1533-position model. Lineage: Bacteria; Pseudomonadati; Pseudomonadota; Gammaproteobacteria; Aeromonadales; Succinivibrionaceae. The record is from RNAcentral.
UACGGAGGGUGCAAGCGUUAAUCGGAAUAACUGGGCGUAAAGGGCAUGCAGGCGGUUAAACAAGUAGGAUGUGAAAUCCCCGGGCUCAACCUGGGAGCUGCAUACUAAACUGUUUAACUAGAGUAUUGCAGGGGGAGACGGAAUUCCAGGUGUAGCGGUGGAAUGCGUAGAUAUCUGGAAGAACACCAAAGGCGAAGGCAGUCUCCUGGGCAAAUACUGACGCUCAUAUGCGAAAGCGUGGGUAG